Molecule: long non-coding RNA, 364 nt
Organism: Mytilus trossulus (common blue mussel)
Lineage: Eukaryota; Metazoa; Mollusca; Bivalvia; Mytilida; Mytilidae
Exons: 4
Source: RefSeq, a predicted model, not a curated record
UACUGGAACCGUGUGGAAACAUUCCCUGAGUUCUUAACUAAGCUUGGAUGUCAAAAUUCAAGCCCGGAAAGGCACUAUUGCUGGAGUUUAUAUGUCCAAGAAUUAGGCAGCUAUCUAGAAAUAUACAUCGGGAUAAUUGUGACGUGCAUGGUUUGUCAGAUUUGUUCAAUAGUUGCAGCUGAAUAUAUCUUCCGUAAACUUGAAUUCAAAGAAAAGAAACCAAGCAUUUCGGAGAACAAGUAUUACUUAUUGUUAAGUUUAAAGCAUGGUAUGUUACGGAGUUUGAUCAUCUUCAUAAAGGAUAAUUGGAGCAGGUCAAAAGUUGGUUUUGCAUCGGUCAUACUUAAAAUAAGCUCGCUUGUAA